RNAcentral lists this unclassified non-coding RNA (348 nucleotides) under soil metagenome. RNAcentral's name for it is "partial contains 5.8S ribosomal RNA, internal transcribed spacer 2, and large subunit ribosomal RNA". The stretch from base 1 to 120 matches the Rfam family "5.8S ribosomal RNA", at positions 35 to 154 of the family's 154-position model. The record is from RNAcentral.
GAUGAAGAAAGCAGCGAAAUGCGAUAAGUAAUGUGAAUUGCAGAAUUCAGUGAAUCAUCGAGUCUUUGAACGCACAUUGCGCCCCCUGGUAUUCCGGGGGGCAUGCCUGUCCGAGCGUCAUUGCUGCCCUCAAGCACGGCUUGUGUGUUGGGCCCCCGUCCCCGGUUUCCCCCGGGGACGGGCCCGAAAGGCAGCGGCGGCACCGCGUCCGGUCCUCGAGCGUAUGGGGCUUUGUCACCCGCUCUGUAGGCCCGGCCGGCGCCAGCCGACACCCAACUUUAUUUCUAAGGUUGACCUCGGAUCAGGUAGGGAUACCCGCUGAACUUAAGCAUAUCAAUAAGCGGAGGA